RNAcentral lists this small RNA (17 nucleotides) under Arabidopsis thaliana (thale cress). The record is from RNAcentral. Lineage: Eukaryota; Viridiplantae; Streptophyta; Magnoliopsida; Brassicales; Brassicaceae.
UCCUCUUGGAAGCACCA